GAUGAACGCGGCGGCGCGCCUAACACAUGCAAGUCGAACGAUUAAAGCACCUUCGGGUGUGUAUAAAGUGGCGAACGGCUGAGUAACACGUGGGCAACCUGCCCCUCUCAUUGGGAUAGCCACGGGAAACCGUGGAUAAUACCGAAUACUUCGGGACUUCCACAUGGAAGACUCGAGAAAGCUCCGGCGGAGAGGGAUGGGCCCGCGGCCUGUUAGCUUGUUGGUGGGGUAACGGCCUACCAAGGCAAUGAUGGGUAGCUGGGUUGAGAGACCGACCAGCCAGAUUGGGACUGAGACACGGCCCAGACUCCUACGGGAGGCAGCAGUGGGGAAUCUUGCACAAUGGGCGAAAGCCUGAUGCAGCGACGCCGCGUGCGGGAUGAAGGCCUUCGGGUUGUAAACCGCUUUCAGCAGGGACGAGGCGAAAGUGACGGUACCUGCAGAAGAAGCCCCGGCUAACUACGUGCCAGCAGCCGCGGUAAUACGUAGGGGGCAAGCGUUAUCCGGACUCAUUGGGCGUAAAGCGCUCGUAGGCGGUCUGUUAGGUCGGGAGUUAAAUCCGGGGGCUCAACCCCCGUUCGCUCCCGAUACCGGCAGACUUGAGUUUGGUAGGGGAAGGUGGAAUUCCUAGUGUAGCGGUGGAAUGCGCAGAUAUUAGGAAGAACACCAGUGGCGAAGGCGGCCUUCUGGGCCAUAACUGACGCUGAGGAGCGAAAGCUAGGGGAGCAAACAGG
RNAcentral lists this ribosomal RNA (734 nucleotides) under uncultured Atopobium sp. Its description in RNAcentral is "bacterial SSU rRNA". It matches the Rfam family "Bacterial small subunit ribosomal RNA", at positions 28 to 776 of the family's 1533-position model. The record is from RNAcentral. Lineage: Bacteria; Bacillati; Actinomycetota; Coriobacteriia; Coriobacteriales; Atopobiaceae.